This 490-nucleotide ribosomal RNA is filed under the name uncultured bacterium. RNAcentral describes it as "partial 16S ribosomal RNA". It matches the Rfam family "Bacterial small subunit ribosomal RNA", at positions 28 to 507 of the family's 1533-position model. The record is from RNAcentral.
GAUGAACGCUAGCUACAGGCUUAACACAUGCAUGUCGCAGGGUAACAUGAGGAAAGCUUGCUUUCCUUGAUGACGACUGGCGCACGGGUGAGUAACGCGUAUCCAACCUUCCCAUAACUACGGGAUAACCCGUUGAAAGACGGCCUAAUACCGUAUGAUAUCGUUUGCUGACAUCAAAUAACGAUUAAAGGUUUAGCGGUUAUGGAUGGGGAUGCGUCUGAUUAGCUUGUUGGCGGGGUAACGGCCCACCAAGGCGACGAUCAGUAGGGGUUCUGAGAGGAAGGUCCCCCACAUUGGAACUGAGACACGGUCCAAACUCCUACGGGAGGCAGCAGUGAGGAAUAUUGGUCAAUGGGCGAGAGCCUGAACCAGCCAAGUAGCGUGCAGGACGACGGCCCUAUGGGUUGUAAACUGCUUUUAUGUGGGGAUAAAGUGCGUGACGUGUCAUGCAUUGCAGGUACCACAUGAAUAAGGACCGGCUAAUUCCGUG